Molecule: ribosomal RNA, 2773 nt
Filed under: Triticum aestivum (bread wheat)
Lineage: Eukaryota; Viridiplantae; Streptophyta; Magnoliopsida; Poales; Poaceae
Description: partial small subunit ribosomal RNA
Source: RNAcentral
GGAGCAGGGGCGUGUGGGUAGCAGAGGUCGAUAGAGCUCGAUCCCAAACCGCGCGGCGGUCGGUCGAGGGCCGGGGCCGCAGCAGGCUAGGCGGCCGCCCUCCGGGGAUGCUGCGGCGGGGUCCGGCCGGCGGGGAAGAGGAAGUGAGGAGGGCCUGGUCGGCGGGGAGGAGCUGAGGAGGGGCGGGCGGGGCUGCAGGUAGGAGCGGGACGUCGUCCUCCGCAGGCGUCCGGGCGGCCGGGCGGACGGGAGGCAAGGGGGGCGGGCCGUCGUCCUGCGCGGGCCGGAGGCGGGCCGGUCCUAUCGACUACCUUUUUCACUUCCCAGGCUUUCGUUAAACCCUACGACGCCGAGUAAGGUAAAUAUACCUACACACGCAUCUCCUCCACGCUCGGUUAUUGGCACGAGGUCCUGUGUGGUGAAACAGACUACAUCCGGUUCAAUUAAAAGAAUGAUUCAAAUUACUCGCGAGGCCCUCUUUGAUAAGAGUGGUUGUUAAUUCUUUGGCCACCCUACGUACAUCUUCACUAAUACGGUAUACCUUCUGUAACGAAGUUUUUCGAAGCCCGUAGCCUUCUCUAGGAAUAUGUUUCUGGUAACGACGAUGCCUACUCACCACCCGUAACCUCAACUUCCGUGCAGGCGUCCGAUGGUUCAUAGCCGUACGAGGUGAACGCCUCCUCCUGUUUUACCUCCUCCACAAACUACGAACAACACAGUGUUUGCUCGUACGCUCUCACGGUUAAGGGUGUAUAGUUCCAAGAUGCAGAGCUUAGUUAAAACAAGCAUACCACCUCCUCCUCCUUCACCCGUUCACUCGUACGUUUCUUACUCCGUAAACAAGCAUACCACCUGGAGAAACUAAGUUCCUUGUUCUCUCUACUCUGAGUUCAAAGUCGUUCUGUUCUCUAAGUACUUUACUACCGGUACCAUCUUCGUCUACCACCACGUGGACCCUCACUACAAGUAAAGAUACGAAGUGUCGAUAAGUUCCUAGUCUGUUUAGCACUACAAAAGAGACGGAAGUUCUGAGUGCUCGGAUCACGCUCCGACUAUACCUAUUUGUUUCGUACCCUCAAGUUGUUAUUCAUCUUGGAAAUACAAAGCUUACGAAAGUUGAACAUAGCAUCACUUGAUACAAGACUAACGAAAGUUGAACAUAGCAUGACAGGAUAUAAUAAGCGAAACUUGGGUACAUAAAGGAAACUUGAACGUAGGAUAAGUUGAUACAAUACCAAACUUGGUUUCAUACACGAAAGUUGAACAUAGGAACUUUGGACGAUGACAUAGAACAACAAUUGGAGGAUACACACAUACACGAACACGGUCUACCUAUUUUUUUGUUCUUCUACUCCUUAAACUCCGUCCUGACUAACGUAAACGAAACCUUUACCGCAGCAGUUCGUUUAGCAACGGCAUACGCAGUUCUUCUAAUGGGGAACAAUGACCGGAGCUUACCCACCUUCUCUUCCUCGCCCUAGGUUUUCGUAAGAUGCGAUACAAGUCUUACUCCUCCAGUCACAAAAUGGGUAACGUACUAGACAACCAACUCUUGAUACCGGAAGUCAGUUGAACGUUGUAUAGUAGGUUUCUUCGCAACCGCGAAAAAGAUACCUGAAACCCCUGUUGCGUCUGGUGACUGUUACACCGCCUAGCCAAACGUGUAUCAGCAAGCCAGUGGUUGUUUUUUAAGGUACUCCAAAACCUCACACAUCUGACGUACCGGCCACUGAUGUAAUCCGGUUACCUAGGUAGAAAGAGACUUGGAGUAGGUUAUGAAUCUUUUUGUUCCAAGACCGGAGUAAAGUUUUUACGAUAACCUCGGUAUCUACCUUGUGUGUAAUUUCACCAACACGGGUUCCUUAACCUCGGGGUUGUAUCCUUAUCCUUUCCCAUGUGUUGGCUUUUACAGUACCGUCACACACUAAAACUAUACUCCAAGUGAAAACAACAAGGACCUACCGGGCCUAGACAAGUACUGUGUGCACAUACCUCGCUACGAUAUCAAGCGAUACUCGUAAUAGGUGUUGGUGGGUGUCUAUUUAUGAUGGAACAGCUGAGGCCUAUAGGGUUGUCUCAACCUAUAGAUCGUGGUAUGUUUCCCGUUGCCAUAGUACAUGGACUAAAGGUUGUUGUGGGAGGGUACCCCUCCAUACUCUGUAAGUUGGUAGCUGUAAGAAGAAACGCGUUUAAAUAGCUUUCUAGUAAACCACAAGAGUUCUACUUUACCGCAUAAGAGGUUCCGUAUGGUGCCAUGUUUGGCCUCUGGGUUUUCUACUAGUAGUGACGUACGUACACAGAAGUGUUGAUGUAAGCACUAUCGUUCAAUGCACUACUCGUAAAACUGUUCAAACUGUUACUACGUAUGCACGUUGGAGGUGUCGGAAAAUGUCCACGGUUGCGAAAUGGUGGACUGCUACUACCAUGGUACCGGCGAUGUGCACUCCGAUAACGGCAGUCGGAACAUGGAACUCUAGUAGGUAGAUAAACAUCAAACGUUGAGGGAAAAUUGAACAUUAUAAUACGUUAUAUACUAUAAAAGUUGAGACCAAGAUUUAACAUUACCAUUCGUGAAAUACUAUAAACGUUCAGCGAAAAUAUAACAUUAUAAUGAUAUACAAUAAAGGUUUAAUUAUCAAAUACUCUAAACGUAGAACAAAAACACAAGUGUAAUGUGUACUUUGGUAGUCAUUAUUGGUUCACAAUGGUUAAGUUGUGAGUGAACUUAGAUUCCCGCAAUGUCUGUAAAAUUACCUGUUGAGUAUCUUAUUAG